Molecule: long non-coding RNA, 131 nt
Filed under: Struthio camelus australis
Lineage: Eukaryota; Metazoa; Chordata; Aves; Struthioniformes; Struthionidae
Description: lncRNA (ENSSCUG00000011128.1)
Source: RNAcentral
AAGAAGGCACUUUAGGUUACAUAUGGUGAUUCGGUGCCCCUAAUGGAUCCUAUAUGCGCUCUCCAUAGGUAAACAAGUGUGUAGAAGAAAGAGUUCCAGGCACACAAAGGUUGGCUGCGCUUGAAGACCCC